UGGGGAAUAUUGCACAAUGGGGGAAACCCUGAUGCAGCGACGCCGCGUGAGCGAAGAAGGCUUUCGAGUCGUAAAGCUCUGUCCUAUGAGAAGAUAAUGACGGUAUCAUAGGAGGAAGCCCCGGCUAAAUACGUGCCAGCAGCCGCGGUAAUACGUGUGGGGCGAGCGUUGUCCGGAAUUAUUGGGCGUAAAGGGUACGUAGGCGGUCUAUUAAGUCAGGUGUGAAAGCGUGAGGCUUAACCUCAUUAAGCACUUGAAACUGAUAGACUUGAGUGAAGGGGAGGAAAGUGGAAUUCCUAGUGUAGCGGUGAAAUGCGUAGAUAUUAGGAGGAAUACCGGUGGCGAAGGCGACUUUCUGGACUUUUACUGACGCUCAGGUACGAAAGCGUGGGGAGCAAACAGG
Molecule: ribosomal RNA, 403 nt
Filed under: Verrucomicrobiota bacterium
Lineage: Bacteria; Pseudomonadati; Verrucomicrobiota
Description: Verrucomicrobia bacterium partial 16S ribosomal RNA
Rfam family: Bacterial small subunit ribosomal RNA
Source: RNAcentral